GCCUGGGUGGCUCAGUUGGUUAAGCACCUGACUUCAGCUCAGGUCAUGAUCUCACAGUUUGUGGGUUCGAGCCCCGCAUCAGGCU
RNAcentral lists this transfer RNA (85 nucleotides) under Felis catus (domestic cat). It matches the Rfam family "tRNA". Rfam says of the family: Transfer RNA (tRNA) molecules are approximately 80 nucleotides in length. Their secondary structure includes four short double-helical elements and three loops (D, anti-codon, and T loops). Further hydrogen bonds mediate the characteristic L-shaped molecular structure. tRNAs have two regions of fundamental functional importance: the anti-codon, which is responsible for specific mRNA codon recognition, and the 3' end, to which the tRNAs corresponding amino acid is attached (by aminoacyl-tRNA synthetases). tRNAs cope with the degeneracy of the genetic code in two manners: having more than one tRNA (with a specific anti-codon) for a particular amino acid; and 'wobble' base-pairing, i.e. permitting non-standard base-pairing at the 3rd anti-codon position. Lineage: Eukaryota; Metazoa; Chordata; Mammalia; Carnivora; Felidae. The record is from Rfam by way of RNAcentral.